UGGGGAAUAUUGCACAAUGGGGGAAACCCUGAUGCAGCGACGCCGCGUGAGCGAAGAAGGUUUUCGAAUCGUAAAGCUCUGUCCUAUGAGAAGAUAAUGACGGUAUCAUAGGAGGAAGCCCCGGCUAAAUACGUGCCAGCAGCCGCGGUAAUACGUAUGGGGCGAGCGUUGUCCGGAAUUAUUGGGCGUAAAGGGUACGUAGGCGGUCUAUUAAGUCAGGUGUGAAAGCGUGAGGCUUAACCUCAUUAAGCACUUGAAACUGAUAGACUUGAGUGAAGGAGAGGAAAGUGGAAUUCCUAGUGUAGCGGUGAAAUGCGUAGAUAUUAGGAGGAAUACCGGUGGCGAAAGCGGCUUUUUGGCCUGCAACUGACACUGUGGCGCGAAAGCGUGGGGAGCAAACAGG
This 403-nucleotide ribosomal RNA is filed under the name Verrucomicrobiota bacterium. Its description in RNAcentral is "Verrucomicrobia bacterium partial 16S ribosomal RNA". It matches the Rfam family "Bacterial small subunit ribosomal RNA", at positions 355 to 776 of the family's 1533-position model. Lineage: Bacteria; Pseudomonadati; Verrucomicrobiota. The record is from RNAcentral.